CUAUGACUCUUGUCAUGGCGGAAGGAG
RNAcentral lists this non-coding RNA (27 nucleotides) under unclassified sequences. The record is from RNAcentral.